GACGAACGCUGGCGGCGUGCUUAACACAUGCCAGUCGAACGGAAAGGCCCUGCUUUUGUGGGGUGCUCGAGUGGCGAACGGGUGAGUAACACGUGAGUAACCUGCCCUUGACUUUGGGAUAACUUCAGGAAACUGGGGCUAAUACCGGAUAGGAGCUCCUGCUGCAUGGUGGGGGUUGGAAAGUUUCGGCGGUUGGGGAUGGAUUCGCGGCUUAUCAGCUUGUUGGUGGGGUAGUGGCUUACCAAGGCUUUGACGGGUAGCCGGCCUGAGAGGGUGACCGGCCACAUUGGGACUGAGAUACGGCCCAGACUCCUACGGGAGGCAGCAGUGGGGAAUAUUGCACAAUGGGCGGAAGCCUGAUGCAGCAACGCCGCGUGCGGAAUGACGGCCUUCGGGUUGUAAACCGCUUUCGCCUGUGACGAAGCGUGAGUGACGGUAAUGGGUAAAGAAGCACCGGCUAACUACGUG
RNAcentral lists this ribosomal RNA (468 nucleotides) under uncultured bacterium. Its description in RNAcentral is "partial 16S ribosomal RNA". It matches the Rfam family "Bacterial small subunit ribosomal RNA", at positions 28 to 507 of the family's 1533-position model. The record is from RNAcentral.